AUAAAAAAUUGUAUUGAAUCUUAAAAAUUUUAUUUUUAAACUAGGAUUAGAUACCCUAUUAUUUAAUUAUUUAAAGAUAUAAAAAUUAGAGUAGUAAUAGUUAUGAUCUUGAAACUCAAAAAAUUUGGCGGUAUUUUAGUCUAUUCAGAGGAACCUGUAAUUUAAUCGAUAAUCCACGAUGGAUCUUACUUAAUUUUGUAAUUUAAUUUGUAUAUCGCCGUUAUUUAAAAAUUUUAUAAGAAAAAUAAUUUUUAAAAAUUUUUAUUAAAAAAUAAAUCAGGUCAAGGUGCAGUUUAUGAUUAAGUUUUAUAUGGGUUACAAUAAAUUUAUUUAUACGGAUUUAAAAGUGAAAUAUUUUUAAGAAGGUGGAUUUGAUAGUAAAUUUUUAAAGAUAAAAGAAUUGAUUUUAGCUCUAAAAUAUAUACACAUCGCCCGUCGCUCUUGUUAAWAAUAUAAGA
RNAcentral lists this ribosomal RNA (458 nucleotides) under Campsicnemus crossotibia. RNAcentral describes it as "partial 12S ribosomal RNA". The record is from RNAcentral. Lineage: Eukaryota; Metazoa; Arthropoda; Insecta; Diptera; Dolichopodidae.